RNAcentral lists this unclassified non-coding RNA (154 nucleotides) under uncultured Helotiales. Lineage: Eukaryota; Fungi; Ascomycota; Leotiomycetes; Helotiales. The record is from RNAcentral.
CAGAGUUCAUGCCCUCACGGGUAGAUCUCCCACCCUUGUGUACUAUAAAUAUCUGUUGCUUUGGCGGGUCGCGAGCUCACCCUCGCCCUGUGUACCCGCCAGAGGACCAAUAAACUCCGAAUGUUAGUGUCGUCUGAGUACUAUAUAAUAGUUA